CGAGUAAGCCAGACAGUCGCGUGGGGAUUCAUUCUCCAUGAGGAAAGUCCGAGCUCCACAGGGCAGGAUUGUGGGUAACGCCCACCAAAGGCGACUUUAGAGACAGUGCAACAGAGAGAUACCGCCGCUCUUUGAGCGGUAAGGGUGGAAAGGCGAGGUAAGAGCUCACCGGCGCACAGGGUGACCGUGCGGCCAUGUAAACCUAAUCUGGAGCAACACCGAUAGGGGACGAUCUGCGCUUGCCCGGCGCGUCCCGGGAAGGUGGCACGAGCCGUAUGGCAACAUGCGGCCUAGAUAGAUGACUGUCAAAUACAGAACUCGGCUUAUAGACUUAGUCGCACC
RNAcentral lists this RNase P RNA (342 nucleotides) under Feifania hominis. RNAcentral's name for it is "Bacterial RNase P class A". It matches the Rfam family "Bacterial RNase P class A". Rfam says of the family: Ribonuclease P (RNase P) is a ubiquitous endoribonuclease, found in archaea, bacteria and eukarya as well as chloroplasts and mitochondria. Its best characterised activity is the generation of mature 5'-ends of tRNAs by cleaving the 5'-leader elements of precursor-tRNAs. Lineage: Bacteria; Bacillati; Bacillota; Clostridia; Eubacteriales; Feifaniaceae. The record is from Rfam by way of RNAcentral.